AGGCCAGCUUGGCGUUGGUUGUCCAAGUUUAAGGUGGUAGGCUGAAAUCUUAGGCAAAUCCGGGGUUUCAAGGCCGAGAGCUGAUGACGAGUCGUCUUUUAGAUGACGAAGUGGUUGAUGCCAUGCUUCCAAGAAAAGCUUCUAAGCUUCAGGUAACCAGGAACCGUACCCCAAACCGACACAGGUGGUCGGGUAGAGAAUACCAAGGCGCUUGAGAGAACUCGGGUGAAGGAACUAGGCAAAAUGGCACCGUAACUUCGGGAGAGGGUGCGCCGGCUAGGGUGAAGGAUUUACUCCGUAAGCUCUGGCUGGUCGAAGAUACCAGGCCGCUGCGACUGUUUAUUAAAAACACAGCACUCUGCAAACACGAAAGUGGACGUAUAGGGUGUGACGCCUGCCCGGUGCCGGAAGGUUAAUUGAUGGGGUUAGCGCAAGCGAAGCUCUUGAUCGAAGCCCCGGUAAACGGCGGCCGUAACGAUAACGGUCCUAAGGUAGCGAAAUUCCUUGUCGGGUAAGUUCCGACCUGCACGAAUGGCGUAACGAUGGCGGCGCUGUCUUCACCCGAGACUCAGUGAAAUUGAAAUCGCUGUGAAGAUGCAGUGUAUCCGCGGCUAGACGGAAAGACCCCGUGAACCUUUACUGUAGCUUUGCACUGGACUUUGAGCCUGCUUGUGUAGGAUAGGUGGGAGGCUUUGAAGCGUGGACGCCAGUUCGCGUGGAGCCAUCCUUGAAAUACCACCCUGGCAUGCUUGAGGUUCUAACUCUGGUCCGUAAUCCGGAUCGAGGACAGUGUAUGGUGGGCAGUUUGACUGGGGCGGUCUCCUCCUAAAGAGUAACGGAGGAGUACGAAGGUGCGCUCAGACCGGUCGGAAAUCGGUCGCAGAGUAUAAAGGCAAAAGCGCGCUUGACUGCGAGACAGACACGUCGAGCAGGUACGAAAGUAGGUCUUAGUGAUCCGGUGGUUCUGUAUGGAAGGGCCAUCGCUCAACGGAUAAAAGGUACUCCGGGGAUAACAGGCUGAUACCGCCCAAGAGUUCAUAUCGACGGCGGUGUUUGGCACCUCGAUGUCGGCUCAUCACAUCCUGGGGCUGAAGCCGGUCCCAAGGGUAUGGCUGUUCGCCAUUUAAAGUGGUACGCGAGCUGGGUUUAGAACGUCGUGAGACAGUUCGGUCCCUAUCUGCCGUGGACGUUUGAGAUUUGAGAGGGGCUGCUCCUAGUACGAGAGGACCGGAGUGGACGCACCUCUGGUGUUCCGGUUGUCACGCCAGUGGCAUUGCCGGGUAGCUAUGUUCGGAAAAGAUAACCGCUGAAAGCAUCUAAGCGGGAAACUUGCCUCAAGAUGAGAUCUCACUGGGAACUUGAUUCCCCUGAAGGGCCGUCGAAGACUACGACGUUGAUAGGCUGG
RNAcentral lists this ribosomal RNA (1405 nucleotides) under metagenome. RNAcentral describes it as "bacterial LSU rRNA". It matches the Rfam family "Bacterial large subunit ribosomal RNA", at positions 1484 to 2864 of the family's 2925-position model. The record is from RNAcentral.